ACUAAAUAGAUACCCAGGUAGUCCACGCCCUAAACGAUGUCAACUGGUUAUUGGGAAUUCAUUUUCUCAGUAAACGAAAGCUAAACGCGUGAAGUUGACCGCCUGGGGAGUACGGCCGCAAGGCUAAAACUCAAAGGAAUUGACGGGGACCCGCACAAGCGGUGGAUGAUGUGGUUUAAUUCGAUGCAACGCGAAAAACCUUACCCACCUUUGACAUGUACGGAACUUGCCAGAGAUGGCUUGGUGCCCGAAAGGGAGCCGUAACACAGGUGCCGCAUGGCUGUCGUCAGCUCGUGUCGUGAGAUGUUGGGUUAAGUCCCGCAACGAGCGCAACCCUUGCCAUUAGUUGCUACGAAAGGGCACUCUAAUGGGACUGCCGGUGACAAACCGGAGGAAGGUGGGGAUGACGUCAAGUCCUCAUGGCCCUUAUAGGUGGGGCUACACACGUCAUACAAUGGCUGGUACAGAGGGUUGCCAACCCGCGAGGGGUAGCUAAUCCCACAAAGCCAGUCGUAGUCCGGAUCGC
Molecule: ribosomal RNA, 526 nt
Filed under: uncultured bacterium
Lineage: Bacteria
Description: bacterial SSU rRNA
Rfam family: Bacterial small subunit ribosomal RNA
Source: RNAcentral